GGAAGCCAUUGUAAUCCAUAAACUGUACUUUGGAAAUUUAUAUUCAUUAAAUAAAAGUUUAAAAAGAUAUAUUUAUAAAAUGUAUUUGUUGAAUUUUACAAAAAAAAAAAACAGACAUUCUGAACAGCAAAGAGAAAAUAUCAAGAAUUUUCCAUGGGGAAAUGUAAUUCAAACCCUGAAGAAUCCAAUUCUGAAAUUAAAAUCGCUGAGGAAAACAUCACAACAGAAAUGAUCAGUGCGCAUUAUUAAGUAACUAUCCACAGAGGGAAGAAAAGGGCAAGAAUGGAUGAAAGGAAAAUGAGAGUCUCAGAGAUCUGUCAGCUACUACCCAGCAGGGAUGGUCUAAUUCAAAUCUACCUGAAGUACUAAAAGAAGACAAAUAGCAGUGAGGGGCAACACAAUAUACUUGCAGAAAUCUUGGCGAAAAGUUUUCACACUAAUUGAAAAACAUAAACACACAGACCAGGAAGUUUAAUGAACUUUAAAUAAGAUACAUGUUAAUAAAACCACACAAGGAUACCAUAACUGUUCAAAAUCAAUAAAGAAGAAAAUAUUAACACCUGCUAAAUAAAAAGUGACAAGCCAUACAAAGGGGAACAAUAAACAGAACAAAACAACACAAAACAAGCUUCCCAAUUUGCAUCAUAAAUGUUUAUUUAUUUACUUAUUUAUAAUAUAAUAAUAGCCCAGAGAAAUUCAAAUGAAACUUUGAGGGACCAAAGAAGGCAGAAGGAUACACGAAAACUUUCAACCUCAUAUUUAUGAUGGAAGCACUGGAUACUGAUAUGAAAUGAAAACCAAACUUUAAUUUUUAUUUCUCACCAUUCACACACACACACACACACACACACAAAUUUCAGAUGGAUAACAGAUUUAAAUAGAAGGUGAAAUUUCAAGAUUUUGUGACAUGUAAACCUUCCUUAGGACACAAAAAACAACAUAAUUAAAGAAAACCGACACCAUUUGAUGUAGUUGACCAAUGAAUAUAGAAAGUCAGGACUUGAACCCAAGUCUGUUGAGAAGUAAAUCUGGGUUCCAUGAUGGCAGAAUAGUGACAGGGUGAUCUGAUUUACUCAUGGUUAAAUUAAUACAAAAAAGUGGAGAAGGUACACUCUUAGGUUAAGGCUGCAGGGGAAACUGCAUUGGGAGAUCCUGUGAAAGCAGUAGAAACAGCCCGGACCAGUGCAGAAUGUGCAGACACGCAGCAAGGUGCAAUGAGACAACAGAAGACCCAGCAGCUUGGAUCCAGGAAAGAAGGUUGCUGCCCUGUCAAACCAGGAGAGAUUGGACUCUAUGUGCCCACACCACUGUUGAUAUAGUGGGAGGGAGAGCUUAGAGAACUGUACCUUUUUGAGUGGAUGGAGAGGAAUGGUCACCUCUGUUGGUUUAACCACUCCUUCUCCUUCAAGCUGAGGGAUGCCCAGGUGAUAGCCCCCUUGUAUUCAACACUCAUUAGCACCACCGUAUAAACUGUAUAUUUAAUCUGUGCAGCCCCUCCUGUGAGCACUGUUCCCUCUCUGUGAGCUGCUCUAAGCAACCAAGGAGCACUGAGAGUGUGCAGCAAUACUCUGUGAUUGCCCAGAUCCCAGCUACACCCAGUCUUGUCUCAUACAAUCAAUGUGUUUUCUUGCUUUCAACACCCAGGGCUCUGAGCGUCUAGGAGUGCAAGAGGAGCCACUCCACCCGAUCCCCCAGGAUAGCAGGCCUGGGGAAGCAGUAGAAGAUGGCCCAAGUCCUUGGACCCCGCACCCAUGUGGGAGACCCAGAAGAAGCUCCUGGCUCCUGGCUUUAGAUUGGCAUAGCUCCAGCCGUUGCGGCCAUCUGAAAGUGAACCAUCGGAUGGAAGACCUCUCUCUGCCUCUCCUCUCUCUGUGUAACUCUGACUUUCAAAUAAAUAAAUAAAUCUUAAAAAAAAAAAAAAGCAUGAGCAAAGAGCACAUAACAUAAAAUAAAAUA
This is a non-coding RNA of Oryctolagus cuniculus (rabbit), 1956 nucleotides long. The record is from RefSeq and is a predicted model, not a curated record. NCBI's taxonomy places the organism in Eukaryota, Metazoa, Chordata, Mammalia, Lagomorpha, Leporidae.